RNAcentral lists this ribosomal RNA (466 nucleotides) under uncultured bacterium. RNAcentral's name for it is "partial 16S ribosomal RNA". It matches the Rfam family "Bacterial small subunit ribosomal RNA", at positions 28 to 507 of the family's 1533-position model. The record is from RNAcentral.
GAUGAACGCUGGCGGCGUGCUUAACACAUGCAAGUCGAACGAUGAAGCCCAGCUUGCUGGGUGGAUUAGUGGCGAACGGGUGAGUAACACGUGAGUAACCUGCCCUUAACUCUGGGAUAAGCCUGGGCAACUGGGUCUAAUACCGGAUAGGAGCGUCCACCGCAUGGUGGGUGUUGGAAAGAUUUAUCGGUUUUGGAUGGACUCGCGGCCUAUCAGCUUGUUGGUGAGGUAAUGGCUGACCAAGGCGACGACGGGUAGCCGGCCUGAGAGGGUGACCGGCCACACUGGGACUGAGACACGGCCCAGACUCCUACGGGAGGCAGCAGUGGGGAAUAUUGCACAAUGGGCGCAAGCCUGAUGCAGCGACGCCGCGUGAGGGAUGACGGCCUUCGGGUUGUAAACCUCUUUCAGUAGGGAAGAAGCGAAAGUGACGGUACCUGCAGAAGAAGCACCGGCUAACUACGUG